Molecule: ribosomal RNA, 500 nt
Filed under: uncultured bacterium
Lineage: Bacteria
Description: partial 16S ribosomal RNA
Rfam family: Bacterial small subunit ribosomal RNA
Source: RNAcentral
AUUGAACGCUGGCGGCAUGCCUUACACAUGCAAGUCGAACGGCAGCACGGGAGCAAUCCUGGUGGCGAGUGGCGAACGGGUGAGUAAUAUAUCGGAACGUGCCCAGUCGUGGGGGAUAACGCAGCGAAAGCUGUGCUAAUACCUCACACGAUCUACGGAUGAAAGCGGGGGAUCGCAAGACCUCGCGCGAUUGGAGAGGCCGAUAUCAGAUUAGCUAGUUGGUGAGGGAAAGGCUGACAAAGGAGACGAUCUGUAGCUGGUCUGAGAGGACGACCAGCCACACUGGAACUGAGACACGGUCCAGACGCCUACGGGAGGCAGCAGUGGGGAAUUGUGGACAAUGGGCGCAAGCCUGAUCCAGCAAUGCCGCGUGCAGGAUGAAGGCCUUCGGGUUGUAAACUGCUUUUGUACGGAGCGAAACGGUCUUUCCUAAUACGAGAGGCUAAUGACGGUACCGUAAGAAUAAGAACCGGCUAACUACGUGCCAGCAGCCGCCGUAA